RNAcentral lists this ribosomal RNA (465 nucleotides) under Vreelandella stevensii. Its description in RNAcentral is "partial 16S ribosomal RNA". It matches the Rfam family "Bacterial small subunit ribosomal RNA", at positions 338 to 795 of the family's 1533-position model. Lineage: Bacteria; Pseudomonadati; Pseudomonadota; Gammaproteobacteria; Oceanospirillales; Halomonadaceae. The record is from RNAcentral.
CCUACGGGGCGCUGCAGUGGGGAAUAUUGGACAAUGGGGGCAACCCUGAUCCAGCCAUGCCGCGUGUGUGAAGAAGGCCCUCGGGUUGUAAAGCACUUUCAGUGAGGAAGAACGCCUGGUGGUUAAUACCCAUCAGGAAAGACAUCACUCACAGAAGAAGCACCGGCUAACUCCGUGCCAGCAGCCGCGGUAAUACGGAGGGUGCGAGCGUUAAUCGGAAUUACUGGGCGUAAAGCGCGCGUAGGUGGCUUGAUAAGCCGGUUGUGAAAGCCCCGGGCUCAACCUGGGAACGGCAUCCGGAACUGUCAAGCUAGAGUGCAGGAGAGGAAGGUAGAAUUCCCGGUGUAGCGGCGAAAUGCGUAGAGAUCGGGAGGAAUACCAGUGGCGAAGGCGGCCUUCUGGACUGACACUGACACUGAGGUGCGAAAGCGUGGGUAGCAAACAGGAUUAGAUACCCGUGUAGUC